Molecule: non-coding RNA, 75 nt
Organism: Hypoxylon fuscum
Lineage: Eukaryota; Fungi; Ascomycota; Sordariomycetes; Xylariales; Hypoxylaceae
Source: the annotation of a GenBank genome assembly
GCCAGUGUAGCUCAAUAGGUUUAGAGCAUGAGACCAAGCGUUCCAUGGUAGUUGGUUUGAAUUCGACCGCCGGCU